RNAcentral lists this ribosomal RNA (1713 nucleotides) under Campylobacter coli. Its description in RNAcentral is "partial 23S ribosomal RNA". It matches the Rfam family "Bacterial large subunit ribosomal RNA", at positions 1 to 1732 of the family's 2925-position model. The record is from RNAcentral. Lineage: Bacteria; Pseudomonadati; Campylobacterota; Epsilonproteobacteria; Campylobacterales; Campylobacteraceae.
AGGUAAGCUACUAAGAGCGAAUGGUGGAUGCCUUGACUGGUAAAGGCGAUGAAGGACGUACUAGACUGCGAUAAGCUACGGGGAGCUGUCAAGAAGCUUUGAUCCGUAGAUUUCCGAAUGGGGCAACCCAAUGUAUAGAGAUAUACAUUACCUAUAUAGGAGCGAACGAGGGGAAUUGAAACAUCUUAGUACCCUCAGGAAAAGAAAUCAAUAGAGAUUGCGUCAGUAGCGGCGAGCGAAAGCGCAAGAGGGCAAACCCAGUGCUUGCACUGGGGGUUGUAGGACUGCAAUGUGCAAGAGGUGAGUUUAGCAGAACAUUCUGGAAAGUAUAGCCAUAGAGGGUGAUAGUCCCGUAUGCGAAAAACAAACCUUAGCUAGCAGUAUCCUGAGUAGGGCGGGACACGAGGAAUCCUGUCUGAAUCCGGGUCGACCACGAUCCAACCCUAAAUACUAAUACCAGAUCGAUAGUGCACAAGUACCGUGAGGGAAAGGUGAAAAGAACUGAGGUGAUCAGAGUGAAAUAGAACCUGAAACCAUUUGCUUACAAUCAUUCAGAGCCCUAUGUAGCAAUACAGGGUGAUGGACUGCCUUUUGCAUAAUGAGCCUGCGAGUUGUGGUGUCUGGCAAGGUUAAGCAAACGCGAAGCCGUAGCGAAAGCGAGUCUGAAUAGGGCGCUUAGUCAGAUGCUGCAGACCCGAAACGAAGUGAUCUAUCCAUGAGCAAGUUGAAGCUAGUGUAAGAACUAGUGGAGGACUGAACCCAUAGGCGUUGAAAAGCCCCGGGAUGACUUGUGGAUAGGGGUGAAAGGCCAAUCAAACUUCGUGAUAGCUGGUUCUCUCCGAAAUAUAUUUAGGUAUAGCGUUGUGUCGUAAUAUAAGGGGGUAGAGCACUGAAUGGGCUAGGGCAUACACCAAUGUACCAAACCCUAUCAAACUCCGAAUACCUUAUAUGUAAUCACAGCAGUCAGGCGGCGAGUGAUAAAAUCCGUCGUCAAGAGGGAAACAACCCAGACUACCAGCUAAGGUCCCUAAAUCUUACUUAAGUGGAAAACGAUGUGAAGUUACUUAAACAACCAGGAGGUUGGCUUAGAAGCAGCCAUCCUUUAAAGAAAGCGUAAUAGCUCACUGGUCUAGUGAUUUUGCGCGGAAAAUAUAACGGGGCUAAAGUAAGUACCGAAGCUGUAGACUUAGUUUACUAAGUGGUAGGAGAGCGUUCUAUUUGCGUCGAAGGUAUACCGGUAAGGAGUGCUGGAGCGAAUAGAAGUGAGCAUGCAGGCAUGAGUAGCGAUAAUUAAUGUGAGAAUCAUUAACGCCGUAAACCCAAGGUUUCCUACGCGAUGCUCGUCAUCGUAGGGUUAGUCGGGUCCUAAGUCGAGUCCGAAAGGGGUAGACGAUGGCAAAUUGGUUAAUAUUCCAAUACCAACAUUAGUGUGCGAUGGAAGGACGCUUAGGGCUAAGGGGGCUAGCGGAUGGAAGUGCUAGUCUAAGGUCGUAGGAGGUUAUACAGGCAAAUCCGUAUAACAAUACUCCGAGAACUGAAAGGCUUUUUGAAGUCUUCGGAUGGAUAGAAGAACCCCUGAUGCCGUCGAGCCAAGAAAAGUUUCUAAGUUUAGCUAAUGUUGCCCGUACCGUAAACCGACACAGGUGGGUGGGAUGAGUAUUCUAAGGCGCGUGGAAGAACUCUCUUUAAGGAACUCUGCAAAAUAGCACCGUA